This 492-nucleotide ribosomal RNA is filed under the name uncultured bacterium. Its description in RNAcentral is "partial 16S ribosomal RNA". It matches the Rfam family "Bacterial small subunit ribosomal RNA", at positions 29 to 507 of the family's 1533-position model. The record is from RNAcentral.
AGUGAACGCUGGCGGUAGGCCUAACACAUGCGAGUCGAACGGCAGCACAGUAAGAGCUUGCUCUUACGGGUGGCGAGUGGCGGACGGGUGAGGAAUACAUCGGAAUCUACUUUUUCGUGGGGGAUAACGUAGGGAAACUUACGCUAAUACCGCAUACGACCUACGGGUGAAAGCAGGGGAUCUUAGGACCUUGCGCGAUUGAAUGAGCCGAUGUCGGAUUAGCUAGUUGGCGGGGUAAAGGCCCACCAAGGCGACGAUCCGUAGCUGGUCUGAGAGGAUGAUCAGCCACACUGGAACUGAGACACGGUCCAGACUCCUACGGGAGGCAGCAGUGGGGAAUAUUGGACAAUGGGCGCAAGCCUGAUCCAGCCAUACCGCGUGGGUGAAGAAGGCCUUCGGGUUGUAAAGCCCUUUUGUUGGGAAAGAAAAGCAGCAGGUUAAUACCCCGCUGUUCUGACGGUACCCAAAGAAUAAGCACCGGCUAACUUCGUG